GACGAACGCUGGCGGCGUGCUUAACACAUGCAAGUCGAACGGAAAGGCCCUGCUUUUGUGGGGUGCUCGAGUGGCGAACGGGUGAGUAACACGUGAGUAACCUGCCCUUGACUUUGGGAUAACUUCAGGAAACUGGGGCUAAUACCGGAUAGGAGCUCCUGCUGCAUGGUGGGGGUUGGAAAGUCUCGGCGGUUGGGGAUGGACUCGCGGCUUAUCAGCUUGUUGGUGGGGUAGUGGCUUACCAAGGCUUUGACGGGUAGCCGGCCUGAGUGGGUGACCGGCCACAUUGGGACUGAGAUACGGCCCAGACUCCUACGGGAGGCAGCAGUGGGAAAUAUUGCACAAUGGGCGGAAGCCUGAUGCAGCAACGCCGCGUGCGGGAUGACGGCCUUCGGGUUGUAAACCGCUUUCGCCUGUGACGAAGCGUGAGUGACGGUAAUGGGUAAAGAAGCACCGGCUAACUACGUG
Molecule: ribosomal RNA, 468 nt
Filed under: uncultured bacterium
Lineage: Bacteria
Description: partial 16S ribosomal RNA
Rfam family: Bacterial small subunit ribosomal RNA
Source: RNAcentral